RNAcentral lists this ribosomal RNA (336 nucleotides) under uncultured bacterium. RNAcentral's name for it is "partial 16S ribosomal RNA". It matches the Rfam family "Bacterial small subunit ribosomal RNA", at positions 355 to 708 of the family's 1533-position model. The record is from RNAcentral.
UGGGGAAUAUUGGACAAUGGGGGGCAACCCUGAUCCAGCAAUGCCGCGUGUGUGAAGAAGGUCUUCGGAUUGUAAAGCACUUUCGACGGGGACGAUGAUGACGGUACCCGUAGAAGAAGCCCCGGCUAACUUCGUGCCAGCAGCCGCGGUAAUACGAAGGGGGCUAGCGUUGCUCGGAAUGACUGGGCGUAAAGGGCGUGUAGGCGGUUUACACAGUCAGAUGUGAAAUCCCCGGGCUUAACCUGGGAGCUGCAUUUGAUACGUGUAGACUAGAGUGUGAGAGAGGGUUGUGGAAUUCCCAGUGUAGAGGUGAAAUUCGUAGAUAUUGGAAGAACA